Molecule: long non-coding RNA, 143 nt
Organism: Haliotis rubra (blacklip abalone)
Lineage: Eukaryota; Metazoa; Mollusca; Gastropoda; Lepetellida; Haliotidae
Exons: 3
Source: RefSeq, a predicted model, not a curated record
AAACUACGUCGAUUGUCGAACCUAAAUUAUUUGCGGGCAGGUAAGUUUUGGUCAGGGCUGGCAAGUUUUACAUCUAUGCAGCCCUGUGGUCUGGAUGAAUGUUUCUUGAGUUUCAUACUCUGCUAUAACAUGUCGGCUUUGAG